Molecule: ribosomal RNA, 537 nt
Filed under: uncultured bacterium
Lineage: Bacteria
Description: partial 16S ribosomal RNA
Rfam family: Bacterial small subunit ribosomal RNA
Source: RNAcentral
UGGGGAAUAUUGCACAAUGGGCGCAAGCCUGAUGCAGCCAUGCCGCGUGUGUGAAGAAGGCCUUCGGGUUGUAAAGCACUUUCAGCGAGGAGGAAGGUGGUGAGCUUAAUACGCUCAUCAAUUGACGUUACUCGCAGAAGAAGCACCGGCUAACUCCGUGCCAGCAGCCGCGGUAAUACGGAGGGUGCAAGCGUUAAUCGGAAUUACUGGGCGUAAAGCGCACGCAGGCGGUUUGUUAAGUCAGAUGUGAAAUCCCCGGGCUCAACCUGGGAACUGCAUUUGAAACUGGCAAGCUAGAGUCUCGUAGAGGGGGGUAGAAUUCCAGGUGUAGCGGUGAAAUGCGUAGAGAUCUGGAGGAAUACCGGUGGCGAAGGCGGCCCCCUGGACGAAGACUGACGCUCAGGUGCGAAAGCGUGGGGCAGCAAACAGGAUUAGAUACCCUGGUAGUCCACGCUGUAAACGAUGUCGAUUUUGGAGGUUGUGCCCCUUGAGGCGUGGNUUCCGGAGCUAACGCGUUAAAUCGACCGCCUGGGGAGU